CUUAAAACACUAUUGGGCUUUACAUUUUACACUUAAAAAUGGAUCCCACAUUUUACACUCGUGUUAAAUAACAAAAUAAGAUUUUAACUCUAUUAUUGGACAUGACCUUACCAUCUCGAUCGUAAUCACCAUAGCUCUCAGCCUCUCACUCGUUCUUUUUCCAACAAAAUGAUUCAAAGUGGAAUUGUCUGUGACACUUGGAAAAACAUCUCUCUCUCUCUCUCUCUCUCUCUCUCUCCGGAGAGUAAUUACAUAUCCGUAGCUCUUACCUCUGCCGCAGUGGAGAGACAGCAAUUGCGGUUGAAAAUUUCCCCGAAUUCUGGUCGAGGUCUCCUUGUAAUGCAACACUUUUGCUUCUCAAAUUGAGCUGCUCUAGUAAUGGAAGGAAAUACCUGAUUCUUUCUCGGCGUUCUUAUAAUUUUCCAAGUACCUCCCAUGGCUGAAGGUAAUUGUAUCUAGUGUGUGGAAAUUCAUGUUUUCUCUGUCGUGUUCUUCUUAAUUUAUAAAUGUAUAUGUAUUGAUUCCGUUGAAGCGCGCCUAGAUUCCUAAGCAUUCCAUAUCUAAUUACAAUAGUUUAUAUGUCAUAAUACAUUAUGCAUAAACUAAUUAUUUACAAA
Rhododendron vialii is the source of this 617-nucleotide long non-coding RNA. RefSeq lists it as uncharacterized. The record is from RefSeq and is a predicted model, not a curated record. The transcript is spliced from 2 exons. Lineage: Eukaryota; Viridiplantae; Streptophyta; Magnoliopsida; Ericales; Ericaceae.